GUUGAACGCUGGCGGCAGGCCUAACACAUGCAAGUCGAACGGUAAGAGGAAAAGGCUUCCUUCCUUACUUACGCGUCGCAGACGGGUGAGAAAUGUCGAUAACACUGCCUUAUGGCUGGGAAUAACUACUGGAAACGGUAGUAAAAACCGCUUAACUUCUCAAGAGCAAGGAUGAGAACCGUCAGGCGUCUUUCCAGCCAAUUUUACCAGAUGGGAUUAGCUAGUAGGUGGGGUAACGGCUCACCUAGUCGACGAUCCAUAGCUGGUCUGAGAGGAUGACCAGCCACACUGGAACUGAGACACGGUCCAGACUCCUACGGGAGGCAGCAGUGGGGAAUAUUGCACAAUGGGCGCAAGCCUGAUGCAGCCAUGCCGCGUGUAUGAAGAAGGCCUUCGGGUUGUAAAGUACUUUCAGCGGGGAGGAAGGGAGUAAAGUUAAUACCUUUGCUCAUUGACGUUACCCGCAGAAGAAGCACCGGCUAACUACGUG
RNAcentral lists this ribosomal RNA (490 nucleotides) under uncultured bacterium. RNAcentral describes it as "partial 16S ribosomal RNA". It matches the Rfam family "Bacterial small subunit ribosomal RNA", at positions 28 to 507 of the family's 1533-position model. The record is from RNAcentral.